CCCUUAGAUGUUCUGGGCCGCACGCGCGCUACACUGACGAUGGCAACGAGUUUUUCCUUCGCCGAAAGGUGUGGGUAAUCUUUUGAAACAUCGUCGUGCUGGGGAUAGAUCAUUGCAAUUUUUGAUCUUGAACGAGGAAUUCCUAGUAAGCGCGAGUCAUCAGCUCGCGUUGAUUACGUCCCUGCCCUUUGUAGACACCGCCCGUCGCUACUACCGAUUGAAUGGUUUAGUGAGGACUCCUGAUUGGCGCCGCCGCCCCGGCAACGGAGCAGCGGACUGCCGAAAAGUUGUUCAAACUUGAUCAUUUAGAGGAAGUAAAAGUCGUAACA
Molecule: ribosomal RNA, 329 nt
Filed under: uncultured eukaryote
Lineage: Eukaryota
Description: partial 18S ribosomal RNA
Rfam family: Eukaryotic small subunit ribosomal RNA
Source: RNAcentral